This 397-nucleotide ribosomal RNA is filed under the name uncultured bacterium. Its description in RNAcentral is "bacterial SSU rRNA". It matches the Rfam family "Bacterial small subunit ribosomal RNA", at positions 28 to 428 of the family's 1533-position model. The record is from RNAcentral.
GACGAACGCUGGCGGCGUGCUUAACACAUGCAAGUCGAGCGGUAAGGCCCUUUCGGGGGUACGACGAGCGGCGAACGGGUGAGUAACACGUGGGUGACCUGCCCUCAGCUCUGGGAUAAGCCUGGGAAACCGGGUCUAAUACCGGAUAUGACUCCAUGACGCAUGUUGUGGGGUGGAAAGCCUUGUGCGGCUGAGGAUGGGCCCGGCGGCCUAUCAGCUUGUUGGUGGGGUGAUGGCCUACCAAGGCGACGACGGGUAGCCGGCCUGAGAGGGCGACCGGCCACACUGGGACUGAGACACGGCCCAGACUCCUACGGGAGGCAGCAGUGGGGAAUCUUGCGCAAUGGGCGAAAGCCUGACGCAGCGACGCCGCGUGAGGGAUGACGGCCUGGUGUAA